This 30-nucleotide non-coding RNA is filed under the name Mus musculus (house mouse). Lineage: Eukaryota; Metazoa; Chordata; Mammalia; Rodentia; Muridae. The record is from RNAcentral.
UGGAUUCAAAGAUAGCGAUUACUUCUAGAA